This 700-nucleotide ribosomal RNA is filed under the name Sandona trimutans. RNAcentral's name for it is "eukaryotic LSU rRNA". The stretch from base 368 to 700 matches the Rfam family "Eukaryotic large subunit ribosomal RNA", at positions 1 to 326 of the family's 3401-position model. The record is from RNAcentral. Lineage: Eukaryota; Cercozoa; Glissomonadida; Sandonidae.
CAAUCUUUGACGCAAAUUGCGCUCUUGGGUAGCCCUAGGAGCACGCCUCUCUCAGUAUCGGUUCAACAACCUCUCAGCAGCGUAUGCAAAUACGUGUUGGCUGGCGAAUGAGAGUCGAAUCUUCACACGAUUCGUCUCUUGAAAUACAUCGAGUGAGCAUCAUAUUCUUUUACGCUGCACCUUCGGGUGCAAACUGGUCGAUCGACUGGUCGUAUGGGAGUGACGUGAAUAUUGACCCUUGUGGUCUCACAUUUACGUGUAACUUUCGUCGACUAUUCAAAGUUGAUCAUCAGUGUGAGAGAAGAGUUGCUCAUGUUACGCGGCUUCGGCUGCAAUCGACUAGAAUGAAUAAUUCAAGUCUGAAUUUUGAUCUGAGAUGAAGCGAGACAACCCCCUGAAUUUAAGCAUAUUAAUAAGGGGAGGAAAAGAAACUAACAAGGAUUCCCCCAGUAACGGCGAGUGAAGCGGGAAGAGCUCAAUUUGAAAAUCGACUACCUAAGCGGGUCGUCGAGUUGUAGCCUAGAGACGUACUAUCAGCUGAAACCUGGGUAUAAGUUCUUUGGAAUGAGGCAUCAUAGAGGGUGAGAAUCCCGUAUAGAAACCCCAAAGCUUUCAGCGUACGAUGUAUGUUCAUCGAGUCGAGUUGUUUGGGAUUGCAGCUCUAAAUGGGUGGUAAGUUUCAUCUAAAGCUAAAUAUGGC